This 1095-nucleotide long non-coding RNA is filed under the name Anas platyrhynchos platyrhynchos (common mallard). RNAcentral describes it as "lncRNA (ENSAPLG00000021791.1)". Lineage: Eukaryota; Metazoa; Chordata; Aves; Anseriformes; Anatidae. The record is from RNAcentral.
AUAUGCUUUACUUUUGAAAUGUUUUACAGUUUAAACUGCAGGCAUUUCCUAUUUUUUACAGCUCAACCUUUCACAUGAUGCAAUUACAUCUUAGAUGAAACACAAAAUUUCUGCAUUCAGAAUUGUAAUACGAUCACAGCAUUGUCUCUGUUUUUCUAUAAGAAUUGUUUUUCUUAACAAAGGCUAAAAUUUAUGUCAAAGUAUUUAAGCAGAGUACGAUGGAGACACCAAAUAGCCUACCUCUUGAUGCACUGAUUAAACAAUACCUAGAAAAUGCAAAUGAUGGGAUUUUCAUGCUGGAAUUGUAAUGAUUUGCUCUUGUUUUAUACCAUGCUCAAAAGAAUGACAGGCACAGUACAGAAGAAAUCCAAGCCUCUGUCAUUAAUAUCUUACAAAAGCUCCAGUCCUGCAGAUGCAAUUGGAAAUUCUUCAGCUUUAUUCAGGGAGCGAGCGCUGUCUUCAGCAGAAACUCAGUGGAAUCCAGUGGAAUUCAUCUCACAAGCAAGGAAAUCCCCUGCAGACCCAAUAAUCCCAUGGUGUGUCAUCUGUGAAGAAUGUACAUGAGAUCCUGAGCACCAAAGGCCUGUCGGUGACCAUGACAUGCACUGAAGCAGUGUCCGGAGACUUACUCAGAGGACAAACUUGUAUUGUUUGCUGGAGGAGGGAGGAAUCUGACAGGCUGCAGGACAAGAAAGGAGGCAGGGAGAGGAACAAUUAUCUUAGACCUAAAGCAGGUGAGAUACCUUGGAAAAUGGCAUGCUGUCCUUGCCUCCACUGCAUCCCUGCUGGAUAUCAGGCAGCUGUUGUCAAAAGUGCCCACUGUAUGUGGCUCCCCAUUUCUGGGUGCCAAAUGAGAGACCAAGCCCAACCUGAAAAGCUCAGUGCACUCCUGGUUGGAGCUGGCACAAAGAGGAGCUGGGCUUUAGGCACCACAUGCAUAAUUUUCAUGUCCUCUUAAAAUUCAGACCUUUCAAACUUUUCAGCUAAAUUAGUGGAUGUUUUACUGUCACAUUCUCAGCAUUUAAGUUAUUUGUGAAGCACUCUCUCCUCUCACAGAUAUGCUCUGCAAAUAAAUUCACUGAUGUUUGUGAAGCA